CCUACGGGUGGCAGCAGUGGGGGAUAUUGCACAAUGGGGGGAACCCUGAUGCAGCCACGCCGCGUGGGUGAAGGAGUGCUUCGGCGUGUAAAGCCCUAUCGGCAGGGAAGAAGCAAGACGGUACCUGACUAAUAAGCCCCGGCUAACUACGUAACAGCAGCCUCGGUAAUACGGAGGGGGCGAGCGUUAUCCGGAUUCACUGGGUGUAAAGGGAGCGUAGACGGCACAGCAAGGCAGGGGUGAAAGCCCGGGGCCCAACCCCGGGACUGCCCUUGGAACUGCAUGGCUGGAGUGCGGGAGGGGCAGGCGGAAUUCCUGGUGUAGCGGUGAAAUGCGUAGAUAUCAGGAGGAACACCGACGGCGAAGGCAGCCUGCUGGACCGCGACUGACGUUGAGGCUCGAAAGCGUGGGGAGCGAACAGGAUUAGAUACCCGUGUAGUC
This 441-nucleotide ribosomal RNA is filed under the name uncultured bacterium. RNAcentral describes it as "partial 16S ribosomal RNA". It matches the Rfam family "Bacterial small subunit ribosomal RNA", at positions 338 to 795 of the family's 1533-position model. The record is from RNAcentral.